Long non-coding RNA from Homo sapiens (human), 1738 nucleotides. Ensembl annotates it as long intergenic non-protein coding RNA 847. The record is from Ensembl. NCBI's taxonomy places the organism in Eukaryota, Metazoa, Chordata, Mammalia, Primates, Hominidae.
GGUACCCGGACCUGCCCAACGACCGUUCUCCAUUCCCGACCUCCGCACCCUACCCGGUCCGCAGGGCACCUUCCUCCUCUCUCUCAGGCACGUCCUCGACCUCAGUUGCCACGUGCACAUGCUGGUGCCUUCCAGGUACCAGUCAGGACUGGUAGACUUUAAUGUGGAGAACUUCUGAAACAGCAGUUCUCAAAAUGUUACCUCCAGACACACAGAAUCUGCAUCACCCAGGAACUUGUAACCAUGCAAAUUCUCAGCCACCCAGACUUCCUGCAUCAGAAACUCUGGGGCCCAGCAGCCUGUGUUUUAACAAAGCCCUUCAGGCUGGAGUAUAGUGGCAUGAUCAUAGAUCACUGCAGCCUCAAACUCCUGGGCUCAAGCGAUCCUCCCACCUCAGCCUCCAUAUAGCUGGUGGGGACCAAGUUUCUAACACAUGAAUGUUGGGAGACACAUUCAGACCAUCGCAGUGGCCUUAUAAAAAGAGACACAAGAGCUUGCUCUCUGCCAUGUGAGAAUACCACAAGAAGACUGUCCUCAGCAAAUCAGAAAGCGGGUGGACCCUCAUCAGACACCAGAUGUGCCUGCACCUUGAUCUUGGACUUGCCAGCCUUCAGAACAGUAAGAAAGAAAUGUGUGUUGUUUAAGCCACCCAGUCUAUGGUAACUUGCUAUAGCAGCCCACUAGGAGACCCCAAGAUAUUUAAAAACUCAUCAGCACCUGCUUUCUGCAUCUGGACCCUGAUCUUCUGGUGGGUUUACCAGUUACUUGUAGAGUGUCCCUGUGAUAGUUUUAGGUGUCAACUUGACAGGAUUGAGGGAUGCCUAGAUGGCUGGGGAAGCACUGUUUCUGAGAAGGACCAUGUUUUUGGAGGAGACUGUUUUAUGAGUGAAUUUCAGGGGACACAUUCAGAUCAUGGCAGUGGCAUUAUAAAGAGAGACACAAAAGCUUGCUCUCUCUCUCUGCCAUGUAAGACUACCACACAAAGACUGCCAUCUGCAAACCAGAAGCAGGUGGGCUUUCCUCAGACACCAGAUCUGCCUGCACCUUGAUCUUGGACUUGCCAGCCUUCAGAACUCUAAGAAAGAAAUGGUAGCAUGGCUUGGUCUAAGUUGGAAGGCCUGAGAAACAAGCACAUGGUGGAACUGAGUUCAAGGAUAAAGACUUGAGAAUACCUGCUCAGUGGACUGAGUAGGGAAGAUCAACCCUCAAUGUAGGCAGGCACUAUCCAAUCACCUGAGGGCCCAGAUGGAACAAAAAGGUGGAAGAAGGGUGAAUUCUCUCUUCCAGAGCUGUGACACCCUUCUCAUGCCCUUGUACCACACAACUCUAGGUCCUUUGGCCUUUGGACUCUGACACUUGCACCAGUGGCCCUCUGGGGCUCUCAAGCCUUUAGCCUUGAACUUAGUUACACCAUGUGCCUCCUUGUUUCUCAGGCCUUCCAACUUGGAUCAGGCCAUGCCACCGGCUUCUCUGAUUCUCCAGCUUGCAGAUGGUAUAUUGUGACCCUGGCAUUUAAUAACUAUGACUUUGGUCUUAAGCAAUUUUCUUCCUCUGUGGAUUGAUAUUUACAUAUCAAUGUGGAUAAUAAUUUCUUACCACGGUAACUGUUGUGAGGUAAAAAUGAGUUAACAUAAGUAAAACCGAGCACAUGCAAACCAUCCGAAAUGGUUAAUACUUACUAUUUGUACUUGAAGAAAUAAAUGUUUUUGACAAUAAACUUCUUGUGCAGUUUUCCUCA